UACAGAGGGUGCGAACGUUGCUCGGAAUUACUGGGCGUAAAGCGCAUGUAGGCGGAUCCAUAAGUCGGGCGUGAAAUCCCCAGGCUCAACCUGGGAACUGCGCUCGAAACUGUGGGUCUUGAGUGUCGGAGAGGAUGGCGGAAUUCCUGGUGUAGAGGUGAAAUUCGUAGAUAUCUGGAGGAACACCGGUGGCGAAGGCGGCAUCCUGGACCACGACUGACGCUGAGGAGCGAAAGCGUGGGGAGCAAACAGG
This 253-nucleotide ribosomal RNA is filed under the name uncultured bacterium. RNAcentral describes it as "partial 16S ribosomal RNA". It matches the Rfam family "Bacterial small subunit ribosomal RNA", at positions 524 to 776 of the family's 1533-position model. The record is from RNAcentral.